CGCACCUUCCCCCGCACGGCGCGGCCCCAGCGCCGCGGGCAGCCCCGGGCGGCGCAGGAAGCCGCGCCGGCCCUGCACCGCUCCCGCCCCGCCGCUCCGGCGGUGAUAAAGUGCAGAGAGACGGGCUCCAACACUGGCUUGGAGAGUUGCAGCAGCAGAGUUCCAGCAGCAAUCACCAGCAAGUGGCAGCCACCACCAGAAAGACGCCAGCUUUCCAAAGACACUGAAGCCAAGAAGCCAGUAGGAUACCUGGCAGUGAGAAAAUGGGCACAGAGAAACACUGGCUUCUCUUCCACCACUCAUUCCUAGUAAACAGUCCAAUAAAGAGUCCAAUCACUCUGAGAGGAAGGUAUUGGAGAGGAAGAUGAGGUAGCUCCAAGCUGAAGCUCCAGAGCCAAACCACUGCCUUGGUGUCACCCCUUGGUACCUGCUGCCAUAUACUGGCUUGCACAGCAGCUUGCUCACUUCGUAUGCAUGGCUUUUACCAUCUCCCUCUUCAGACUAAACAGCCACCAUGGCAUUUGGUGUUUACUACAGCUUCUGACAAACUGAAUCCUGGCAAAACUGAGCACAAUCCUCUGAAAAAGUAGAACUUUACCAAGUGAGAAAAUUUUCUGCCCACCUCUGUGGCAUCCUCCAGACUCUGCUGGAGGAAUAGGAAGAUCCACAGCAUCACAGCUUGUCACAGCAGUGUGAGUGCAGCCCUUCCCCAAGACAGUGUUCACCUUCCAGUGAAAGACAGCAGGACAGAGUCUUGAGCAAGACUCAGUCACCUGAACACACACCAAAGGGACUCCCAGGAAGGGAAAAAGCUUGGAGGAUGAUUCAUCAGUGAAUGAAAAUUAGGGUCUACUUGCCCAGCACAAAUAUGGAGUCAGCCAGAUGAACAGGUUAUUUGGAGGCAACAGCUGAUAACCACAGCUCUGCGUGCACAGAUACAAACGUGGCUCUGAGCAAUCUGCAGAAACGGAUGAGCCGCUCUUCCUGCUGUGUGCGGCGCGGCUGACCCUCGACCGGCUGUGAAACCAGUGCCUGCAGCAGGAUGUGGAGCUGGCCCAGAGGUCAGACAGAUGCCAGCAGGCACCCACCAUGGGCUGCAGCCCUUCCCCACACACACCCAGCUGCAUCGUGCUUGCCAGGGCCAAGGGCUGUUCAGACGUGGGCAAUCAGCAGGGCAAAAAGGUUGCUGAGCCCCAAAACACAGCAGGCAGCCUCGGGGAGUUGUUCUCAGUGUCACACAAGGGCUCUUUGCUGAAGAGAGGAAAGAGCCUCACAGGCUUAGGCAGUGUCCAGGAAGGACAAAUGAUUAACGGGGAGCCAAAGCUCAUCUAAAUCCAGCUGUAUUUCAAAUCUCCAAGCCACUGUGCUAAAAUACAAAACACGCUGCAGCAAAGUGAGCCUAAAAAAGGAGACAUUAUAUCUUUGCCUAAGACUGAUGGUUUUCUUAGUUACUUCUUUCUCCCAUUUUUGUGAGAAUUCAUGGAUUUUUAAACACCAUUUAAAUAAAAUUUCAAGCACUAGGAAACUGCAUCAUGGCACCUAACACAAUGCAAGAUUCUCUAGCCCAUUGCUACACAAGAUCCCUACAGCACUGUAGGAGAAAAACAGAGUGAGCAAUAAAACACUAUUGUGUGUGGCACUUAAAUGAAAAGGUGUGCUCUUCAGAGAGCAGUGCUUAGAGAAUAGACUUCUGUGACUAUGCUGGUACUCAGACCUCAUUAAAUAAAAGCACGAGCAGGUUAAUUAGUUAAUGUCUUGUAAGCACGUUGAAGAAAUAUGAUAUUGGGUCUAUCACUGUGAGCUGUCAUUUAUUUGAGGGGUAGUGGGGUAUGUUCUGUAUUUGACUGUGCCACUACCAUCCCCUUUGGCUUCAGUUGUGGGAUCUGAAUAAAGAUAGUAGAUCAUAUCAGUACAGGCACUGGCCUUUAAAAAUGCUGCUUUUAGCAUUAGCCAUCUCCUCAUGGCUUUAAAUUCUACCCCAAAGCAGAAAAGAUCUUUUUCUUAUACAAACAAGAGUUAUAUUACACCCACAGAAAGCAGCUCUCCCUUGCCUGCAGUUCACUCAAGCCACAGAGCAGUACCAUCUACUCAGAGGUAAGCAAGCUCAGGCAACUCUGAGACACAAAACAUGAGAAGCACUACAGAACAGAGGUAUGGACAACAGGGGAGUUAUCACACUGUGACAGAUGCAUGCCCAGACUACACUGGCUCCCAAGAGCUCUGCAGAAAAAAUCAGAGCUAGACACAUCUGUGCCAAUGUCAAAAGGUAAGACAGAUAAACAGCCUGAAAUGCAGCUCGUGCAGUCCUGUAAGUGUGCUUGAGAGGAUUGUGUUGAGGCAGGAAAAUACUGUCUAGAAAGCUAUCAAUAAAAAAACCCUCCUUGGAAAAUAUCACCUCUAGCCCCCCUUAGUAUUGGUACCCUCCUUUAAGUUGGCCUUCACGUGUCCCUUAGACUAAAAGCUGAGUGCAAAGUCCCCUAGUAUACCUAUAAAGCAAGACGUCUACAGUCCAGAACAAGUGAGGUAUCCCUAAAAGAAGAUGGGGUUUGGGUUUGCCCUCCAGAGAGAUGAUGUGAGGGGGGGAACAGACGCACACCACCUGCCAGAAAAACAUUGUAUCACCAGCAGUGGCCCCUGGCCACACACUUACACCUCUGAGCUGUGCUGACACCAGCAAUUCAGCCACGAAGGACACCAGCUAAGCCAUCCAUUUAACACCUGCACACAGGCAACAUUUGGAAAGCUCAGCUCCCCAAUGUUCAGACAACGCAUGGCAAGCAUCUUUCUGUGCAUGAAGCCAGUACAGACCUCAGUUCUCUGGAGAUAACACAAACAAUUAUAUAUACAUACAAUUAUAUAUGCAUUAUCUCAUUAUAAUUAGAGAACAUACCUUUAUACGCUGCAAUCUAUGUCAACUGUUUACUGCUUAGAGCUUAACUGUAUUUAUAAUUCAUAAUUAAUAUUAAAUAA
This is a long non-coding RNA of Passer domesticus (house sparrow), 2970 nucleotides long. RefSeq lists it as uncharacterized. The transcript has 4 exons. The record is from RefSeq and is a predicted model, not a curated record. NCBI's taxonomy places the organism in Eukaryota, Metazoa, Chordata, Aves, Passeriformes, Passeridae.